Lagopus muta (rock ptarmigan) is the source of this 2991-nucleotide long non-coding RNA. RefSeq lists it as uncharacterized. The transcript is spliced from 3 exons. Lineage: Eukaryota; Metazoa; Chordata; Aves; Galliformes; Phasianidae. The record is from RefSeq and is a predicted model, not a curated record.
CUCUCUUAGACCUCAUUUAAGGUCUGACUGUCACAGGGGAAAGAUUUUUCUCUGGACAUUCCUCUUUGGGGGAGCUUUUCUGCUGUAAACUUGGAAUCUUCUGAUACAGAAGCAAAGUUGAUGCCCUGGUUUGCCGUGGGGGAGAUGAGCAGCAGGUUACAGCCUGAUGGUUGGAAGUGAAGGCAGUUGUUUGGUUCCAAAUAAUGUGAAAUGAGGAAAAACCAAAGAAAAUGCCAUUUCUUCUGAACGGAUUUUGAAGUAGAUUCUCUUUCAGGAACACAUCUGGAUCACUAAAUCCUUUAAACAACAGCUACAAUCAUGUAGCUUCUUUCUGGGGAAGAAAAAACAAUCCAUGCGAUAAACCAGCUGCCUUAAACAUAGCUUUCAGUGUUCAAGUGCAACCUCCAGGAAUGUUGCAAAUCAGAUUGGAGGCAGCACUGAGCAGAGCAGUCCUGCUUCACUAGUUGUACUAGCAGGUAGUGGGAAAACUGGACCAGAUCAGGGUCUCAUGCUUAAAGAAUAAUUGUACAUUUUAGUCACUGCAACAUCGUCUGCAAGCAGUGAAUAUGUUUCUAAAUGAAACUAUAUCUAUCUUGAGGAACUGAUAUAGCAGUGGUAUCAUGAACACAGUGCAAAGCGAUUUAUCUUGCUGAUGAGCUAUGCCUGACACAUAUUCUUCAGUUUCCCACUCAGAAUGUUCAAAGAUAAUUCAAUUAUUCAGGUAUUGCCUUGAAAAUGGUUGGACUGCAGAGGGAACUGUUGGCCUAGAGUCCCCUGAUGUACUACUCCUCAGUUAAGAUCCAAAGUAAUGUUAGAGAUUUCUAGUAGUUUGAAGAAAUUUAUAGAUAUUACUAUAUUAAGUUGUCAUUAGAGGUAAUAAUGUAGUGGGUUUGAGCAUAUACCUCCCAGUGCCUUGUCAGAUAAUGUGUGCACUAUGCAAUGAAAGACAAAUAGUCUUCUGGAAAGAGGUGACUUGUCUUGUUUUGACAUCAGUUUAAAUCUGUAAAAUGUGCUCGGCUCUCCUGCAGUUUUCAUACUUAGUAUUUGGUGCACAGGUUCAGAACCAGGUCCUUAACCUCCAAUUGACCUGCGUUCAACGUUUCAAAAAAAUCAAGGUAUAAAUUGAAUUUUUCUACUGCCUAUAUGUGGAUAAUAAUUUGAACCCAUUUUAUUUUCUCUUCCUUUGUUUGUUGCUCACAAUCUUAAUUGCUUGACUUCUGUCAUUCUGCAAUAGUCAGAUGCAAGAGCUUUGUAAUGUUUAGCCCUUGAGCCUGACCUUCCAAACCCUGCAAACUCAAAAGGAGAGGAAAGAGUUUUAACAGGAUUUAAUUGGGAUCGUCUUUGCCCAUCAGCCUCUUCCUGCUCUCCACCUGGGGGGGGUUUUGAGCUGAGGCCCUACUAACUGGUGGAGACGGAAGGGUGGAGAGAAGCAGAUAUCUCCACGUCAGAGCCGUGGGGCUGUCAUUCUGGGUUACUGAGAAGACAGGAGAUGGUGCCUGCAGGAAACAAAGAUGCUUCCCACCUGUCCUGAGCUAAUGAGGAUGUUUCUGAUGUCAAUAAAUGUUUCCUGAUCACAACAAAAAGCAAGCAAUCUUCACAACCCACUCAUGGGCAAGAGGAAAACAGACAAAGUAGAGGACAGAUGUGAAAGAAUCACAGAAUAGGAUGCAGGGAUGGGAAGAGAGGUUAUGUGGAGGAGAAGGAGAGGGAAAGAUUAAAGGAAGGAAAAGAGAAAGUAGAACAGGGCAAGAGAGUAAAAAUGGAAUUCUUGAUGGAGGGCAGUGGAGAAAUAGGUGGCAAAGGACCUGAGAUAAGAAAUGUUGAAAGCAAGCACGCUGGAAACGGACAAGAAGAGCUAAAAGAAUGAAGAAUGCUGCUAACAGGUGGAGGGUAGUGUUUAACCUAAAAUAACCAUUUCACUGAAGAACAUGAUCAAUGAGAGAUGGAGCACGGCUCGUGAGAGGAAUCUUGGGUAUAGAGAAGGGAAGAGUCGGGGAGAAAGUACUUCUGGCAUGUAGUGUUUAAUCAUACCUUGGAAAUAGUAUGAGCAAAAGAAAGACACCUACUUCAAGUUAAAAGACAGGAAGAGAAAGUGCAAAUAGGAAACCUGAACCAGGCAUUGUUUGAUUGUUGCUAGUGGGCUCAAAGGCUGCUUGGUUAUAGUUUGAAUGCAUCCUGGGAGUAGAGCAGGGAUGAGAAACAGGCAAGCUGAGUUCAGGGUCAUUCAAUAUAGAUGAUUGUUAACUCUGUUUUUUGGCUUGAUUGCUAAAACUCAAGAUGGACUUGGCCUUGGUUGCUCAUUAUCGCAUAUUUUCUUUCUAGAAUCUGACAAUAUGUUUCCAAGGUAACCUUUGGAAUAGAAGAACAGUUUUGAUAAAUCUAGUCUGUGAGCUGGAAUUGCUCAUUUGUUUGUAGAAAAGGUGCCAGUGCACUGUUUGAGUUCUGUGCAUGUGUUUCUGAUGUUGUUAGAGAACAUCACUAAUGUGAAGGGGAUUUUGUGAACAGGUGUAUAAUGCAGAAUUUGAUCCAAAUAUCUUGGAAAAAAUGACAUUUGACCUUGUGAAUAAGCAGAACGCUGUUCAUGUAAUAAGUCGCAUAGUUCAAAUUCAAUACAAUCAGAUUGUAAAAUAACAAACUAAAAUGAAGCUCCACGACUUUGCUGUUCAUACAGCACAAUGUAGUUUCAAGCAUUAUUUUUUUUCUUUUUAACAAGUCUUAUGCUCCAUUUGGUAGAAUACUAUUCUCAAACUGUGCCAGUAGGAUUUUUCAAAACCAUCUAGCUCCAAAAAAUCCCAUCUUUUGCAGAUGGAAUACUAUGUAUACCUGCUUAGAUCUAAGCCUUCCUUUCCUAAGACACUUCAGUGAUUGGUGCUGGACUACUCAGCUGUCAGCUGACCUAAUCUUUCAUGAGUACUCUGUGCAUUCUCUUGUAUUCUUGUUAAAUAGUUUUUUUCUUUCUGCACAUCUUUCUGUCUGUGCAAUUUUGAAAUA